This 253-nucleotide ribosomal RNA is filed under the name uncultured bacterium. RNAcentral's name for it is "partial 16S ribosomal RNA". It matches the Rfam family "Bacterial small subunit ribosomal RNA", at positions 524 to 776 of the family's 1533-position model. The record is from RNAcentral.
UACGAAGGGCCCGAGCGUUAUCCGGAUUUAUUGGGCUUAAAGGGUGCGUAGGCGGAUUAGUAAGUCAGUGGUGAAAGCCCGUCGCUUAACGGCGGAACUGCCAUUGAUACUGCUAGUCUUGAGUAUGGUUGAGGUGGGCGGAAUGUGUCAUGUAACGGUGAAAUGCUUAGAUAUGACCUAGAACACCAAUGGCGAAGGCAGCUCGCUAAGCCAUAACUGACGCUGAGGCACGAAAGCGUGGGGAGCAAACAGG